UGGGGAAUUUUGGACAAUGGGCGAAAGCCUGAUCCAGCCAUGCCGCGUGAGUGAAGAAGGCCUUCGGGUUGUAAAGCUCUUUUAGCCGGAAAGAAAGAGUUGCAAUGUAUAAUUGUGAUUUAUGACGGUACCGACAGAAAAAGCACCGGCUAACUACGUGCCAGCAGCCGAGGUAAUACAUAGGGGGCGAGCGUGAAUCGGAAUUACUGGGCGUAAAGGGUGCGCAGGCGGUCUUGCAAGUCAGAUGUGAAAGCCCCGGGCUUAACCUGGGAAUUGCGUUUGAAACUACAAGGCUAGAGUGCAGCAGAGGGGAGUGGAAUUCCAUGUGUAGCAGUGAAAUGCGUAGAGAUGUGGAAGAACACCGAUGGCGAAGGCAGCUCCCUGGGUUGACACUGACGCUCAUGCACGAAAGCGUGGGGAGCAAACA
RNAcentral lists this ribosomal RNA (427 nucleotides) under uncultured beta proteobacterium. Its description in RNAcentral is "bacterial SSU rRNA". It matches the Rfam family "Bacterial small subunit ribosomal RNA", at positions 355 to 774 of the family's 1533-position model. The record is from RNAcentral. Lineage: Bacteria; Pseudomonadati; Pseudomonadota; Betaproteobacteria.